AACUCAAAAACUUAGUCUCAGUUCGGAUUGUAGGCUGAAACUCGCCUACAUGAAGCUGGAGUUGCUAGUAAUCGCGAAUCAGCAUGUCGCGGUGAAUACGUUCCCGGGCCUUGUACACACCGCCCGUCACACCAUGAGAGUUGGCAAUACCCAACGUACGUGAUCUAACCCGCAAGGGAGGAAGCGUCCUAAGGUAGGGUCAGCGAUUGGGGUGAAGUCGUAACAAGGUAUC
RNAcentral lists this ribosomal RNA (232 nucleotides) under uncultured bacterium. Its description in RNAcentral is "partial 16S ribosomal RNA". It matches the Rfam family "Bacterial small subunit ribosomal RNA", at positions 1271 to 1500 of the family's 1533-position model. The record is from RNAcentral.